Ziziphus jujuba (common jujube) is the source of this 931-nucleotide long non-coding RNA. RefSeq lists it as uncharacterized. The record is from RefSeq and is a predicted model, not a curated record. The transcript has 2 exons. NCBI's taxonomy places the organism in Eukaryota, Viridiplantae, Streptophyta, Magnoliopsida, Rosales, Rhamnaceae.
GGUGCGAUUGGGAAUUUUGGCAAAGGUGGUUCGUGCUGGUGCGAGCGGAAGGGCCAGCUGAUGCGAGCGGGAAUGGCAGAUUUGGGUAAAAUUUCACACGUGAGUUGCUCUUCAAUCUGGGUCGUUCAUGCCAGGAAGAGUGGGAGUUGAAGGGGAUCGUGCAUAAGUAUCAAUUUGCUGCUGUUGGGCUCCUCUACAAGAAUCUCUCUAAUUUUCCGUAGAAUUGAAUUUGUAAUUUUCCAUAGAAUUGAAUUUGUUUGAAGGUUGAGAUUGAAUUUGUUUAAAAGUUGAGAGACCUUUGACUGGAGAAUGGUGCAUUGCAAUAAAUAUCAUUCAUUUUUCUCACUUAAAAUAAGGAGCAUCGAGUGUGCCUGGAUAUGAAGAUAAAAAUUUGAUUGGCCUUGACGAUAACAAAUUUAUGCAGUUAGAUUUGAUGAAUUCAAAAGUUAAAAAAGUAUACUUGUCAAACACAUUAGCAUGGGAAAAACCCUCCUAUAUAAAUAUUACAUGCAGUCAUGUACUUUUAAGAUACACGUAGCCGGGGCAAACAUAAUCCAAGAUUUCCCAUGAUAGAAGAAUCAUAUUAUAUAUGGAUAGGUCCUAACAGAACUAAAUGAAACACACUAAACCAACAAAAGCUAUAAGCUUUAAAACAUAACUAUAAAGCCCAAAAUAUAAGAUCAAGUAAUAUUUAACUGAGCCAUGAUGAAAUAGUAUAAGUUUAUUUCAUUAAUGCAGGGGCCAAUUUAGAUUAUUGUCCCCAACUAGUUUUUACUCUUACAACCCACUUGGAACACUCCCAGCUCGCUACAAAUAUGUAAGUAGCUAAUAAAUGACAAUAGAGAUUGAAUGCAUUUGCAUGGAAUAGGACAGCCAAGAGUUAAAAAACAGAAACAGCAGCAGCAGCAACUAUAUACAGCACCACACAUUC